UACGUAGGGUGCGAGCGUUGUCCGGAAUUAUUGGGCGUAAAGAGCUCGUAGGCGGUGUGUCACGUCGGCCGUGAAAACCCGCAGCUUAACUGCGGGACUGCAGUCGAUACGGGCAGGCUAGAGUUCGGUAGGGGAGACUGGAAUUCCUGGUGUAGCGGUGAAAUGCGCAGAUAUCAGGAGGAACACCGGUGGCGAAGGCGGGUCUCUGGGCCGAUACUGACGCUGAGGAGCGAAAGCGUGGGGAGCGAACAGG
Molecule: ribosomal RNA, 253 nt
Filed under: uncultured bacterium
Lineage: Bacteria
Description: partial 16S ribosomal RNA
Rfam family: Bacterial small subunit ribosomal RNA
Source: RNAcentral